GAAAAUCAUGCCACUCCUCUCAGUAACCCUUGAUCUCCCCAAAUUGUGAGGCAUUCAUUUCCUGAUCACUGGAUCUCUUAUAAACAUCUCAGAACUCCUGCCUUUGGAUAACUAGACUUGGAAAUUUCCAUAGAAGCUGGACAAAAGGAAGCAAUUUGUCCUGUGUUCUAGAAAAUGAAAUACUUCUACCAGCAUGGGAUCAAAAGGAGCCAACACGGAUGUUUAGUGUGCAAUUGCAGUAAUACAAGGAGAAGUUGGGUUGCUAAGUCGUGUCUGACUCUUUGCGACUCCAUGGAC
This 297-nucleotide long non-coding RNA is filed under the name Capra hircus (goat). Its description in RNAcentral is "lncRNA (ENSCHIG00000004872.1)". The record is from RNAcentral. Lineage: Eukaryota; Metazoa; Chordata; Mammalia; Artiodactyla; Bovidae.